AAAUACACAAAAAAACACAACGAAACGGAUGCUACAAUGUCUCUACUUAAAGCAAAGUAUGAGACCUUCUGCAUCCCCUGGAUAUAAAUGUAGCAAUGAAGGAGUACAAGAAAAAAAUGAAUGUAUACAGUGUAUAAAUACACCCCAACAAAGUGUGAGGUCCUAAAGACCUACACUGAACUAGUAUCACUAUCUCUCAAAGAAUGAGAAUAGGGGGAGAAACAAUCUCGCUGCUAAAAUCUGGUGGAGGAUACUGGAAAAAUGAAAAUAAAAAAACUUUAUUAGAAUCAGCUAAAAAAUAUAUCCGUCCCAGAAGUGACUCCUGCAGUAUUCAUCCAAGCAGAAACCCCCUAUAUAGACACAUAAACCUUGUCCAGCCAGCUACCUAAAGUCU
Molecule: long non-coding RNA, 394 nt
Filed under: Pelobates cultripes (western spadefoot toad)
Lineage: Eukaryota; Metazoa; Chordata; Amphibia; Anura; Pelobatidae
Source: RNAcentral